RNAcentral lists this ribosomal RNA (253 nucleotides) under uncultured bacterium. RNAcentral describes it as "partial 16S ribosomal RNA". It matches the Rfam family "Bacterial small subunit ribosomal RNA", at positions 524 to 776 of the family's 1533-position model. The record is from RNAcentral.
GACGAACCGAGCGAACGUUGUUCGGAAUCACUGGGCUUAAAGGGCGCGUAGGCGGGCUGUCAAGUCUGGGGUGAAAUCCCGCGGCUCAACCGUGGAACUGCCUCAGAUACUGACGGCCUCGAGGGAGAUAGGGGCGAGCGGAACUAAUGGUGGAGCGGUGAAAUGCGUUGAUAUCAUUAGGAACUCCGGUGGCGAAGGCGGCUCGCUGGAUCUUUUCUGACGCUGAGGCGCGAAAGCUAGGGGAGCAAACGGG